GUCCAUUUCUGAGAGAGAAGUGUUGAAGUCUCUGGCUAUACGAGUGGAUUAAUCUGUUUCUUCUUGCAGUUCUAUCAGGUUCAUAUCCAGCUUUCAGAGUGGCACCGUGCGAUUUUUCUUCCGCAGGCCUGGCUUGCAUACAUGAAUCGAGCUUAUCAUGCCAUUUUACAGGGAAGACUAGGAGAGCUGGAGUUGCAGUUAAAACAUGGAAAAG
RNAcentral lists this small RNA (214 nucleotides) under Pan troglodytes (chimpanzee). RNAcentral's name for it is "processed transcript". Lineage: Eukaryota; Metazoa; Chordata; Mammalia; Primates; Hominidae. The record is from RNAcentral.